GGGGAUGUAGCUCAGUUGGCAGAGCACCGCCUCGGCAGGGCGGGGGCCAGGGGUUCGAGUCCCCUCUUCUCCA
This 73-nucleotide transfer RNA is filed under the name Micromonospora pallida. Its description in RNAcentral is "tRNA_Ala_GGC". It matches the Rfam family "tRNA". From Rfam's summary of the family: Transfer RNA (tRNA) molecules are approximately 80 nucleotides in length. Their secondary structure includes four short double-helical elements and three loops (D, anti-codon, and T loops). Lineage: Bacteria; Bacillati; Actinomycetota; Actinomycetes; Micromonosporales; Micromonosporaceae. The record is from RNAcentral.